CAGCCGCCGCGGGAAUACGUAGGGUGCGAGCGUUAAUCGGAAUUACUGGGCGUAAAGCGUGCGCAGGCGGUUUUGCAAGACAGGCGUGAAAUCCCCGGGCUCAACCUGGGAAUGGCGCUUGUGACUGCAAAGCUAGAGUGCGGCAGAGGGGGAUGGAAUUCCGCGUGUAGCAGUGAAAUGCGUAGACAUGCGGAGGAACACCGAUGGCGAAGGCAAUCCCCUGGGCCUGCACUGACGCUCAUGCACGAAAGCGUGGGGAGCAAACAGGAUUAGAUACCCCUGUAGUCCCUGUCUCUUAUAU
RNAcentral lists this ribosomal RNA (301 nucleotides) under uncultured bacterium. RNAcentral describes it as "partial 16S ribosomal RNA". It matches the Rfam family "Bacterial small subunit ribosomal RNA", at positions 509 to 809 of the family's 1533-position model. The record is from RNAcentral.